Molecule: ribosomal RNA, 403 nt
Filed under: uncultured bacterium
Lineage: Bacteria
Description: bacterial SSU rRNA
Rfam family: Bacterial small subunit ribosomal RNA
Source: RNAcentral
GAACGCGAAAGGGAGCAAUCCCCGGUAGCGUGGCAGACGGGUGAGUAACACGUGGGUAACCUACCCGGAGGUGGGGGAUAACCCUUCGAAAGGAGGGCUAAUACCGCAUGACACCGUGGGGACCUCGGUCCUUGCGAUCAAAGCUGGCCUCUGUUUACAAGCUAGCGCCACCGGAUGGGCCCGCGCCCCAUUAGCUAGUUGGUGAGGUAACGGCUCACCAAGGCGACGAUGGGUAGCCGGCCUGAGAGGGCGAUCGGCCACACUGGCACUGAAACACGGGCCAGACUCCUACGGGAGGCAGCAGUGGGGAAUCUUGCACAAUGGAGGAAACUCUGAUGCAGCGACGCCGCGUGAGCGAUGAAGCCCUUCGGGGUGUAAAGCUCUUUCGACGGAACGAUAAUGA